GGGUUGUGAGGUUAAGCGACUAAGCGUACACGGUGGAUGCCCUGGCAGUCAGAGGCGAUGAAGGACGUGCUAAUCUGCGAUAAGCGUCGGUAAGGUGAUAUGAACCGUUAUAACCGGCGAUUUCCGAAUGGGGAAACCCAGUGUGAUUCGUCACACUAUCAUUAACUGAAUCCAUAGGUUAAUGAGGCGAACCGGGGGAACUGAAACAUCUAAGUACCCCGAGGAAAAGAAAUCAACCGAGAUUCCCCCAGUAGCGGCGAGCGAACGGGGAGCAGCCCAGAGCCUGAAUCAGUGUGUGUGUUAGUGGAAGCGUCUGGAAAGGCGCGCGAUACAGGGUGACAGCCCCGUACACAAAAAUGCACAUGCUGUGAGCUCGAUGAGUAGGGCGGGACACGUGGUAUCCUGUCUGAAUAUGGGGGGACCAUCCUCCAAGGCUAAAUACUCCUGACUGACCGAUAGUGAACCAGUACCGUGAGGGAAAGGCGAAAAGAACCCCGGCGAGGGGAGUGAAAAAGAACCUGAAACCGUGUACGUACAAGCAGUGGGAGCCUCUUUUAUGGGGUGACUGCGUACCUUUUGUAUAAUGGGUCAGCGACUUAUAUUCUGUAGCAAGGUUAACCGAAUAGGGGAGCCGAAGGGAAACCGAGUCUUAACUGGGCGUUAAGUUGCAGGGUAUAGACCCGAAACCCGGUGAUCUAGCCAUGGGCAGGUUGAAGGUUGGGUAACACUAACUGGAGGACCGAACCGACUAAUGUUGAAAAAUUAGCGGAUGACUUGUGGCUGGGGGUGAAAGGCCAAUCAAACCGGGAGAUAGCUGGUUCUCCCCGAAAGCUAUUUAGGUAGCGCCUCGUGAAUUCAUCUCCGGGGGUAGAGCACUGUUUCGGCAAGGGGGUCAUCCCGACUUACCAACCCGAUGCAAACUGCGAAUACCGGAGAAUGUUAUCACGGGAGACACACGGCGGGUGCUAACGUCCGUCGUGAAGAGGGAAACAACCCAGACCGCCAGCUAAGGUCCCAAAGUCAUGGUUAAGUGGGAAACGAUGUGGGAAGGCCCAGACAGCCAGGAUGUUGGCUUAGAAGCAGCCAUCAUUUAAAGAAAGCGUAAUAGCUCACUGGUCGAGUCGGCCUGCGCGGAAGAUGUAACGGGGCUAAACCAUGCACCGAAGCUGCGGCAGCGACGCUUAUGCGUUGUUGGGUAGGGGAGCGUUCUGUAAGCCUGUGAAGGUGUACUGUGAGGUAUGCUGGAGGUAUCAGAAGUGCGAAUGCUGACAUAAGUAACGAUAAAGCGGGUGAAAAGCCCGCUCGCCGGAAGACCAAGGGUUCCUGUCCAACGUUAAUCGGGGCAGGGUGAGUCGACCCCUAAGGCGAGGCCGAAAGGCGUAGUCGAUGGGAAACAGGUUAAUAUUCCUGUACUUGGUGUUACUGCGAAGGGGGGACGGAGAAGGCUAUGUUGGCCGGGCGACGGUUGUCCCGGUUUAAGCGUGUAGGCUGGUUUUCCAGGCAAAUCCGGAAAAUCAAGGCUGAGGCGUGAUGACGAGGCACUACGGUGCUGAAGCAACAAAUGCCCUGCUUCCAGGAAAAGCCUCUAAGCAUCAGGUAACAUCAAAUCGUACCCCAAACCGACACAGGUGGUCAGGUAGAGAAUACCAAGGCGCUUGAGAGAACUCGGGUGAAGGAACUAGGCAAAAUGGUGCCGUAACUUCGGGAGAAGGCACGCUGAUAUGUAGGUGAAGCGACUUGCUCGUGGAGCUGAAAUCAGUCGAAGAUACCAGCUGGCUGCAACUGUUUAUUAAAAACACAGCACUGUGCAAACACGAAAGUGGACGUAUACGGUGUGACGCCUGCCCGGUGCCGGAAGGUUAAUUGAUGGGGUUAGCGCAAGCGAAGCUCUUGAUCGAAGCCCCGGUAAACGGCGGCCGUAACUAUAACGGUCCUAAGGUAGCGAAAUUCCUUGUCGGGUAAGUUCCGACCUGCACGAAUGGCGUAAUGAUGGCCAGGCUGUCUCCACCCGAGACUCAGUGAAAUUGAACUCGCUGUGAAGAUGCAGUGUACCCGCGGCAAGACGGAAAGACCCCGUGAACCUUUACUAUAGCUUGACACUGAACAUUGAGCCUUGAUGUGUAGGAUAGGUGGGAGGCUUUGAAGUGUGGACGCCAGUCUGCAUGGAGCCGACCUUGAAAUACCACCCUUUAAUGUUUGAUGUUCUAACGUGGACCCGUAAUCCGGGUUGCGGACAGUGUCUGGUGGGUAGUUUGACUGGGGCGGUCUCCUCCUAAAGAGUAACGGAGGAGCACGAAGGUUGGCUAAUCCUGGUCGGACAUCAGGAGGUUAGUGCAAUGGCAUAAGCCAGCUUGACUGCGAGCGUGACGGCGCGAGCAGGUGCGAAAGCAGGUCAUAGUGAUCCGGUGGUUCUGAAUGGAAGGGCCAUCGCUCAACGGAUAAAAGGUACUCCGGGGAUAACAGGCUGAUACCGCCCAAGAGUUCAUAUCGACGGCGGUGUUUGGCACCUCGAUGUCGGCUCAUCACAUCCUGGGGCUGAAGUAGGUCCCAAGGGUAUGGCUGUUCGCCAUUUAAAGUGGUACGCGAGCUGGGUUUAGAACGUCGUGAGACAGUUCGGUCCCUAUCUGCCGUGGGCGCUGGAGAACUGAGGGGGGCUGCUCCUAGUACGAGAGGACCGGAGUGGACGCAUCACUGGUGUUCGGGUUGUCAUGCCAAUGGCACUGCCCGGUAGCUAAAUGCGGAAGAGAUAAGUGCUGAAAGCAUCUAAGCACGAAACUUGCCCCGAGAUGAGUUCUCCCUGACUCCUUGAGAGUCCUGAAGGAACGUUGAAGACGACGACGUUGAUAGGCCGGGUGUGUAAGCGCAGCGAUGCGUUGAGCUAACCGGUACUAAUGAACCGUGAGGCUUAACCUUACAACGCCGAAGCUGUU
RNAcentral lists this ribosomal RNA (2930 nucleotides) under Escherichia coli. RNAcentral's name for it is "23S ribosomal RNA". It matches the Rfam family "Bacterial large subunit ribosomal RNA". Lineage: Bacteria; Pseudomonadati; Pseudomonadota; Gammaproteobacteria; Enterobacterales; Enterobacteriaceae. The record is from RNAcentral.